Molecule: unclassified non-coding RNA, 295 nt
Filed under: uncultured fungus
Lineage: Eukaryota; Fungi
Description: partial contains 5.8S rRNA, ITS2 and 28S rRNA
Rfam family: Eukaryotic large subunit ribosomal RNA
Source: RNAcentral
AAGGAGUCUAACAUAUAUGCGAGCAUUAGGGUGGCAAACUCUAGUGCGCAAUGAAAGUGAUAGGUGGGACUCUAGUGCGUGAGCAUUGGAAGCACCAUCGACCGAUCGCCGCUUGCGGAGGAUUUGAGUCAGAGCAUAUCUGUUAGGACCCGAAAGAUGGUGAACUAUGCCUGGACAGGGCGAAGCCAGGGGAAACUCUGGUGGAGGCUCGUAACGGUUCUGACGUGCAAAUCGAUCGUGUGAAGUAGGUAUAGGGGCGAAAGACCAAUCGAGCCAUUUAGUUGCUGGUUCUCUC